This is a non-coding RNA of Drosophila melanogaster (fruit fly), 410 nucleotides long. The record is from Ensembl. NCBI's taxonomy places the organism in Eukaryota, Metazoa, Arthropoda, Insecta, Diptera, Drosophilidae.
CGACUGGCGGCAAAUUACAUUUAUUUUUUCUUUGUCAUAAUUGCGGAUGUUAAGCCAAAUUAAUAGAUUGGAUUAGCUGAAUCUGAGUCCAAAAGUGCAGUUGCCACAACUUCAUGUAAGCCGUGUUAUCUGCGCCAUGAAAAUUAUUCGGCAUAAGCACUUCAUAUGGCAACGAACGACUUUGGGAUGGAGAAAAUCCUGGUUGCCAAAUGCUGGAGUCACGUAAGCGCCGCCAGGAUUGCAACUGCAACGCUGCAACUGAAGCUAAUUGAAGCUGGCUCAAAGGAAAAAAUGUAAUGGCACCUUCUGCACGUGAUGGCGACGAAACUCAUUAGAAGAAACUUUAGAUGCGGAUUGCUUUAAUUGCAGUUAUUAAAUGCGGUAUAUAUCAAUAAAUUAGUUGUAAAUGC